Molecule: ribosomal RNA, 253 nt
Filed under: uncultured bacterium
Lineage: Bacteria
Description: partial 16S ribosomal RNA
Rfam family: Bacterial small subunit ribosomal RNA
Source: RNAcentral
UACGGGGGGGGCAAGCGUUGUUCGGAAUUACUGGGCGUAAAGGGCGCGUAGGCGGCCUUCUAAGUCGGACGUGAAAUCCCUCGGCUUAACCGGGGAACUGCGUCUGAUACUGGAUGGCUAGAGUUUGGGAGAGGGAUGCGGAAUUCCAGGUGUAGCGGUGAAAUGCGUAGAUAUCUGGAGGAACACCGGUGGCGAAGGCGGCAUCCUGGACCAACACUGACGCUGAGGAGCGAAAGCCAGGGGAGCAAACGGG